AGUGAACGCUGGCGGCAGGCCUAACACAUGCAAGUCGAACGGCAGCACAGUAAGAGCUUGCUCUUACGGGUGGCGAGUGGCGGACGGGUGAGGAAUACAUCGGAAUCUACUUUUUCGUGGGGGAUAACGUAGGGAAACUUACGCUAAUACCGCAUACGACCUACGGGUGAAAGCAGGGGAUCUUCGGACCUUGCGCGAUUGAAUGAGCCGAUGUCGGAUUAGCUAGUUGGCGGGGUAAAGGCCCACCAAGGCGACAAUCCGUAGCUGGUCUGAGAGGAUGAUCAGCCACACUGGAACUGAGACACGGUCCAGACUCCUACGGGAGGCAGCAGUGGGGAAUAUUGGACAAUGGGCGCAAGCCUGAUCCAGCCAUACCGCGUGGGUGAAGAAGGCCUUCGGGUUGUAAAGCCCUUUUGUUGGGAAAGAAAAGCAGCAGGUUAAUACCCCGCUGUUCUGACGGUACCCAAAGAAUAAGCACCGGCUAACUUCGUG
This 492-nucleotide ribosomal RNA is filed under the name uncultured bacterium. RNAcentral describes it as "partial 16S ribosomal RNA". It matches the Rfam family "Bacterial small subunit ribosomal RNA", at positions 29 to 507 of the family's 1533-position model. The record is from RNAcentral.